GUGCUCACUUCAGCAGCACCUAUAUUAAAACUGGAAUGAUACGAGAUCGUUAGCAUGGCCUCUGCACAAGUAUGACACACAAACUCAUGAAGCAUUAAAAAAAAUA
This is a small nuclear RNA of Pteronotus mesoamericanus, 106 nucleotides long. Lineage: Eukaryota; Metazoa; Chordata; Mammalia; Chiroptera; Mormoopidae. The record is from RefSeq and is a predicted model, not a curated record.